AUGGAGCCGACCUUGAAAUACCACCCUUUAAUGUUUGAUGUUCUAACGUUGACCCGUAAUCCGGGUUGCGGACAGUGUCUGGUGGGUAGUUUGACUGGGGCGGUCUCCUCCUAAAGAGUAACGGAGGAGCACGAAGGUUGGCUAAUCCUGGUCGGACAUCAGGAGGUUAGUGCAAUGGCAUAAGCCAGCUUGACUGCGAGCGUGACGGCGCGAGCAGGUGCGAAAGCAGGUCAUAGUGAUCCGGUGGUUCUGAAUGGAAGGGCCAUCGCUCAACGGAUAAAAGGUACUCCGGGGAUAACAGGCUGAUACCGCCCAAGAGUUCAUAUCGACGGCGGUGUUUGGCACCUCGAUGUCGGCUCAUCACAUCCUGGGGCUGAAGUAGGUCCCAAGGGUAUGGCUGUUCGCCAUUUAAAGUGGUACGCGAGCUGGGUUUAGAACGUCGUGAGACAGU
Molecule: ribosomal RNA, 451 nt
Filed under: Escherichia coli
Lineage: Bacteria; Pseudomonadati; Pseudomonadota; Gammaproteobacteria; Enterobacterales; Enterobacteriaceae
Description: partial 23S ribosomal RNA
Rfam family: Bacterial large subunit ribosomal RNA
Source: RNAcentral